Suricata suricatta (meerkat) is the source of this 3515-nucleotide RNA transcript. It is a transcript of the gene named protein phosphatase 2 scaffold subunit Aalpha, with no coding region annotated. NCBI's taxonomy places the organism in Eukaryota, Metazoa, Chordata, Mammalia, Carnivora, Herpestidae. The record is from RefSeq and is a predicted model, not a curated record. The transcript is spliced from 16 exons.
CCCACGCUCGCCUUUCGUCCUCUUGCCAUCCCUGCCCCUCCCUGCCCCGGAUUCAGCACGGCGCCGGCCGCGGUCUGACAGGAACGGGACGGAGCCAAGAUGGCGGCGGCUGACGGCGACGACUCGCUCUAUCCCAUCGCGGUGCUGAUAGACGAGCUCCGCAACGAGGAUGUUCAGCUUCGCCUCAACAGCAUCAAGAAACUGUCCACCAUCGCCCUGGCCCUUGGAGUGGAAAGGACCCGCAGCGAGCUCCUGCCCUUCCUGACAGACACCAUCUACGAUGAGGACGAGGUCCUCUUGGCCCUGGCGGAACAGCUGGGAACCUUCACCACUCUGGUGGGAGGCCCUGAGUACGUGCACUGCCUGCUGCCGCCCCUGGAGUCGCUGGCCACGGUGGAGGAGACGGUGGUGCGGGACAAAGCAGUGGAGUCCUUGCGGGCCAUCUCACACGAACACUCGCCCUCUGACCUUGAGGCCCACUUCGUGCCGCUGGUGAAGCGGCUGGCGGGCGGCGACUGGUUCACCUCCCGCACCUCAGCUUGUGGCCUCUUCUCGGUCUGCUACCCCCGCGUGUCCAGCGCCGUCAAGGCAGAACUUCGCCAGUACUUCCGGAACCUGUGCUCAGACGACACCCCCAUGGUGCGGCGGGCCGCAGCCUCCAAGCUGGGGGAGUUCGCCAAGGUGCUGGAGCUGGACAACGUCAAGAGCGAGAUCAUCCCCAUGUUCUCCAACCUGGCCUCCGACGAGCAGGACUCGGUGCGGCUGCUGGCGGUGGAGGCGUGUGUGAACAUUGCCCAGCUCCUGCCCCAGGAGGAUCUGGAGGCCCUGGUGAUGCCCACCCUGCGCCAGGCUGCCGAGGACAAGUCCUGGCGCGUCCGGUACAUGGUGGCCGACAAGUUCACAGAGCUCCAGAAAGCAGUGGGGCCUGAGAUCACCAAGACAGACCUAGUCCCCGCCUUCCAGAACUUGAUGAAAGACUGUGAGGCCGAGGUGAGGGCCGCAGCCUCCCACAAGGUCAAAGAAUUCUGUGAAAAUCUCUCAGCCGACUGUCGGGAGAACGUGAUCAUGACACAGAUACUACCCUGCAUCAAGGAGCUGGUGUCAGACGCCAACCAACACGUGAAGUCAGCUUUGGCCUCUGUCAUCAUGGGCCUCUCCCCCAUCCUGGGCAAAGACAACACCAUUGAGCACCUCUUGCCCCUCUUUCUGGCUCAGCUAAAGGAUGAGUGCCCGGAGGUGAGGCUGAACAUCAUCUCCAACCUGGACUGCGUGAACGAGGUCAUCGGCAUCCGGCAGCUGUCCCAGUCCCUGCUGCCCGCCAUCGUGGAGCUGGCCGAAGAUGCCAAGUGGCGGGUGCGGCUGGCCAUCAUCGAGUACAUGCCCCUGCUGGCCGGACAGCUGGGGGUAGAAUUUUUUGAUGAGAAGCUCAACUCCUUGUGCAUGGCAUGGCUUGUGGAUCAUGUCUAUGCCAUCCGUGAGGCUGCCACCAGCAACCUGAAGAAGCUGGUGGAGAAAUUUGGGAAGGAGUGGGCCCAUGCCACCAUCAUCCCCAAGGUCUUAGCCAUGUCCGGGGACCCCAACUACCUGCACCGCAUGACUACGCUCUUCUGCAUCAAUGUGCUGUCUGAGGUCUGUGGGCAGGACAUCACCACCAAGCACAUGCUGCCUACAGUUCUGCGCAUGGCUGGGGAUCCUGUCGCCAACGUCCGCUUCAAUGUGGCCAAGUCCCUACAGAAGAUAGGGCCUAUCCUGGACAAUAGCACACUGCAGAGUGAAGUCAAGCCCAUCCUAGAGAAGCUGACCCAGGACCAGGAUGUGGAUGUCAAGUACUUUGCCCAGGAGGCUCUGACUGGUCACCCGAAUUCUAACUGAUGCAGGGGCCAAAGAGCCCUGGAGAGAGGAGCAGGAGACUUAGUGGAUGGUGAAUGAAAACCAUCAUGGCCCAGACCAUGAGCUCCAAACAUAACACGUUAUGGGAUGAUAACGCUACAUACUGUAAGUCUCUGGUGCUGUCAGAGAACAGUAUCCAAAAUCCUCUGUGUUUGUGAUGUUUUUGUUGCUCCGUUUACCAAUGAUAUACAUGAGAAAACUGUAUUUACCAGCAUGUGCAGGAUCCAGCACAGGAAUAUGGACAUGCUUCUGUACUUGGGGGCUUUCACUUUAAGCUCUGUCUACCUGGAGUUCCUGGGACUGAUCCUGAUGGCCUGGAAGACACUUACAAGGCAGGUGUUACCCAGAGACAUCCUUGCCCACUCUGUGAACAUACGAAAAGUGUUUGCAUCCAAAAUCAUUGAGGAAAUGUCUCAACCCAAAAGGAAUCAUUGUGGGGGGACUCCUUUAGACAGAAUGCCCGAUGAGUAGGCUAUAAUCAGGUGUUUAAGAAUCAAAUCUAUGGGCCUUGACUUGCAAAGAAAAGGAUGAUACAAUGGUGAAGAAGAGAGCUGUUGCCCCGGGUUCCAGCUGUAGUCUGUGAUGAUGUCAUCCCCACUGUCAAAUCAAUCCCUGGCAGCUAUCUUUUCAGUUUCCAGUGACCGAAUUUGUCUCCUGAGCUAAAGGACCCUGAAAUGAGCACAGGUUCGAUGUAUCAUGUCAACUAAGUCCAAUGUUCUCCACUUACCAGUAGUUCUAAGAAAUGUUGACUUGAUGUUUUUCUUUUACUAAGAGUUUUCCAGAGGCUCUUCUAAAGAGCCCUCAUAAUAUAAAAUCAGUCUUGUGAAGGCACUCAUCUGAAUGAAGCCUUCAUGCUUCACAAGUCAAUGAGGCCGGCACUGCUAUGGCUGUAAGUAGCGGAUGAAGAGAACAUACACAGAAAAGUUAAGCAUUUGUCAAAGUUUGCUGCUUAGGGCAGAGUGGGGACCUGAAAUGGGUUGGACUGUGUCAAAAAUCCAGAAUCAAAACACCCAAAUCAACAAACAGUAUUUAGUAAGAGUUUAUUGUGCAUAUGAGAAACGUUCAUGAACAGGGAGCUUUCAGAUUUAAAGCUGAUAUGAAGGUCAGGGCAUAAUGUUACAGGAUGCCUUAUAAAGAGAUUACAGUGAUUGGUUAUUACAAAGGGGGUUUCCAGAUGACAAGGGAUUGGUUAAAAGUGAUUAUCUUGUACCACUUUUAGGAAGAGAAGUGUUUAUGAUUUUCAGAGACUUUCACAAGAAAUAACCUAUAUUUUGCUUAUGCUCAUGAAAUAAGCUAGAUUUUAGUUUUUCUUAUGUGUCUUCAGUGGUUUUGUCUGCUCAUGGAAUUUACAAGUCCAGCGUCCAUUUUGUAUGUAAUUUAAUAGCUGGUAACAAAUACAGUGUGCUAAACUACCAAACUACUAAAAGCUAGUUAGCUGUGUUCAUCAAACCAUCAAAAUUUAUAUUAGUUUUCAUUUUACACCUUGUCAUUUGACUUUAGAUUUUUGUUACUUGCAGUGUUGGAUAUAACAAGUUUUCAUCUAUUUGUAAAGGUAUAAAUCUUGAUAUCUUUGGCCUAUAAAAGCCAGUAUCAAUUAUGAAUAAAGCUUUAGAUAACUUAAUAAA